This 501-nucleotide ribosomal RNA is filed under the name uncultured bacterium. RNAcentral's name for it is "partial 16S ribosomal RNA". It matches the Rfam family "Bacterial small subunit ribosomal RNA", at positions 30 to 523 of the family's 1533-position model. The record is from RNAcentral.
AUUGAACGCUGGCGGCAGGCUAAACACAUGCAAGUCGAGCGGGGGAAGGUAGCUUGCUACCGGACCUAGCGGCGGACGGGUGAGUAAUGCUUAGGAAUCUGCCUAUUAGUGGGGGACAACAUCUCGAAAGGGAUGCUAAUACCGCAUACGUCCUACGGGAGAAAGCAGGGGAUCUUCGGACCUUGCGCUAAUAGAUGAGCCUAAGUCGGAUUAGCUAGUUGGUGGGGUAAAGGCCUACCAAGGCGACGAUCUGUAGCGGGUCUGAGAGGAUGAUCCGCCACACUGGGACUGAGACACGGCCCAGACUCCUACGGGAGGCAGCAGUGGGGAAUAUUGGACAAUGGGGGGAACCCUGAUCCAGCCAUGCCGCGUGUGUGAAGAAGGCCUUAUGGUUGUAAAGCACUUUAAGCGAGGAGGAGGCUACUCUAGUUAAUACCUAGGGAUAGUGGACGUUACUCGCAGAAUAAGCACCGGCUAACUCUGUGCCAGCAGCAGCCGCCG